This 505-nucleotide ribosomal RNA is filed under the name uncultured bacterium. Its description in RNAcentral is "partial 16S ribosomal RNA". It matches the Rfam family "Bacterial small subunit ribosomal RNA", at positions 28 to 507 of the family's 1533-position model. The record is from RNAcentral.
GACGAACGCUGGCGGCGUGCCUAAUACAUGCAAGUAGAACGCACAGUUUAUACCGUUGCUUGCUACACCAUAGACUGUGAGUUGCGAAUGGGUGAGUAACGCGUAGGUAACCUGCCUGGCAGCGGGGGAUGACUAUUGGAAACGAUACCUAAUACCGCUUAAUAUUCAUUAUUGCAUGGUAAUAAAUUGAAUUGUUCAAUUUCACCACUACCAGAUGGACCUGCUUUGUAUUAGCUAGUAGGUGAGGUAACGGCUCACCUAAGCGACGAUACAUAGCCGAACUGAGAAGGGGAUAGGACACACUGGGACUGAGACACGGCCCAGGAUCCCACGGGAGGGCGCAGUAGGGGAACUUCGGCAAUGGGCGAAAGUCUGAACGAGCAAAGGCGCGUGAGUGAAGAAGGUUUUCGGAUCGUAAAGCUCUGUUUUAAGAGGAGAACGGGUGUGGUAGUGAACAGUUCACACCGUGACGGUAUCUUACCAGAAAGGGACGGCUAACUACGUG